UUCUAAAAUGGCAGCCGCACUGCUGGCAGUGGCGUUCCACAGAGGAGGAGGAGGGGGCUGCAGGACAGGGCACAGGAUGCGAGGGAAUCCCCUUCUCAGGCUGGGACACGCAGCACACAGCCGCUCACUGAGUGCUCUCCUCAGCUCAGCGCCAAGAGCAGCAGGCUCCAAAGUGCACCUGACUACGCCUGCCUCCUGCGAGACAGAAGCCCUGCUUGCCAUGUGAGCAUCCAGCGCCUCUUCUUGCACGUCACCUCUGGGCAUUCAGCCCUCACCUACAAUCAAUACGUUCAAUCCAACUGCAGUUGGAUUCAAACCACUCGCAUUAAAUUCAAAACCCGCGCGUAAUGCUGCAACGCACACGGGGCCACACUGCCUCACCCGUCCUCCGUGGGGACCCACAGGCUUAGAACUGCAUCAACAGAGCAGGCAGAAACGUGACGUGCUCCUGACUGCCGGCACUUUUCACGUCUCCCUCUCCUUCCCCCCCAGUCUACCAACGCAGCCCUUCCCACACAACAAACACAAUCACCCAAAACCUCAGCCCUGACUCGGCCCACUCCGGGACAUCCAGACGAAGUACAUAUUGACAAACCUUCAUCCACGGCCACACCCUCGGUCCAACACAGCACCCAGGCUGCUCGCUCCAUUCCUCACCUGGCCUUUGCUUGCCACGAACCCCCUCAUUCAGAC
Molecule: long non-coding RNA, 693 nt
Filed under: Gallus gallus (chicken)
Lineage: Eukaryota; Metazoa; Chordata; Aves; Galliformes; Phasianidae
Description: long non-coding RNA NONGGAT004716
Source: RNAcentral